GCUGGGUGUGGUGGUGCACACCUGUAAUCCUGGCUACUUGGAGGCUGAGGCAUGAGAAUCACUUGAACCCAGGAGGUGGAGGUUGCAGUGAGCCGAAAUCAUGCCAUUUCAUUCCAGCCUGGGCAACAGAGUGAGACUCUGUCUCAA
Molecule: non-coding RNA, 147 nt
Filed under: Pan troglodytes (chimpanzee)
Lineage: Eukaryota; Metazoa; Chordata; Mammalia; Primates; Hominidae
Source: Rfam by way of RNAcentral